AUGCUUCGGGCAGCACAUAUACUAAAAUUAGAACGAUACAGAGAAGAUUAGCAUGGCCCCUUCGCAAGGAUGACAGCAAAUAAAUUUUAAUAUGAACAAUCUGUU
Small nuclear RNA from Peromyscus leucopus (white-footed mouse), 105 nucleotides. The record is from RefSeq and is a predicted model, not a curated record. Lineage: Eukaryota; Metazoa; Chordata; Mammalia; Rodentia; Cricetidae.